Molecule: ribosomal RNA, 253 nt
Filed under: uncultured prokaryote
Description: partial 16S ribosomal RNA
Rfam family: Bacterial small subunit ribosomal RNA
Source: RNAcentral
UACGUAGGGGGCAAGCGUUGUCCGGAAUCAUUGGGCGUAAAGAGCGUGUAGGCGGCUCGGUAAGUCCGCUGUGAAAGUCCAGGGCUCAACCCUGGAAUGCCGGUGGAAACUGUCGAGCUAGAGUCCGGAAGAGGCGAGUGGAAUUCCUGGUGUAGCGGUGAAAUGCGUAGAUAUCGGGAGGAACACCUGUGGCGAAAGCGGCGCACUGGACCAUUACUGACGCUGAUGCACGAAAGCUAGGGGAGCAAACAGG